AAUCAAGUCCAGUCAGUAGCUGGACUACUGUCUACUCACCAACUGUUUCUUUUCUCAGGCUUCUGCUCUUUCCAGUUCAGCGCUGAAAGAAAAAAAAACAGUCUCUAUCUUCUACUCGAUUUCUGUUGCGAAGUGAAAGGAACGUGAACCUCCAACAAUAUGUCUGAAAUGGAAUCUUCUGACCUCAAGUAAGUGCGUGUUGGCACAGUGGCACUAUCGUCCAAAAGAGGCGCAGUCGUCAUCUUGCAUCAUGGCCUGACAGCCUGAGGAAAGCUUGAAUGUGUCUCACGCUGCCGGAACACGUCUGCACGUCUGUUCUCACGUCACGGAUCUUGUCUGCACAUACAGUGGAGUCGAAAGGGUGUGGCCGCACUUUCCCAUUCCCACAUCAUUGCUUGUGCCUACACGUGUGAGCGAGGGCAUGCAUACAGUGCGUGAGCGUACGUGAGGGGAGUCAUGUCAGCAGGCGGGAGAUUCUUCAGAAGGCGUCAGUCCCGCCGAAAGAGACCUUCGCUCUUCACUCGACUCAGCUGGGAGUGACUCCACGCUCCUGGACUUUCCUCCUGCAACAACCUCCAGAUGUUCAAUAGCCAUCACGUCGGAGCAAAGGCGACAACACGGAAAUAUCAGUAAAGAGUAAAUCCACCCCAUAUGAAUAUAUUGUUUAAUAUUCACUCAGUCUCCCAAUUUGUCUUCUUUUUGAAUGCAUGCAAGAAAAAGUUAUAGAUUUUUGAUAAAGCCAGCGUCUUCUCUCUUUUGAGGGAUUUAAUUUGAAGUUAAUCAGAAAUAAAAAAGUUUCUUCACAGGCACUUUCAAACAAACUCAAUUCAAAUGUGUUCCUCUGUGCCAUUUAAUCUGUGUUGUCAAAACAGUUACAGUAUAAUCAUUUGUCUCCACUCGGGAAGUUAGUCACAUUUGAAUUAAAGGAAGCCAAAGGCCAACACAAAGAACAAUAUUUGUUUCCUGAGCCAUAACACUUUUGAAAAAUCAAAUAUCCCAAACCACUUUGGUUCCUCUGAGUCAUUAUAAAUGGUUCAUAGAGAGAUGUCUCAGGGAAAUAUGUUGCGGAACAACAUGUGAUGAAAUGUUUUCAUUAAGCUGUUUGAUGUUUUAAAUCAAAUUUUUUCACAUCUAGCCGAAUAAAACCUUUGUGAUUUUCAUUUGUGGCCACAUCAAGAUUCAUAAUUGUAAAUACCUACAAUAGAUUUUGAGCUAACAACACAACACUGAGGAUUAUUAAUCUACAGCAGAAUUCCUCUGCA
RNAcentral lists this long non-coding RNA (1262 nucleotides) under Scophthalmus maximus (turbot). Its description in RNAcentral is "lncRNA (ENSSMAG00000026933.1)". Lineage: Eukaryota; Metazoa; Chordata; Actinopteri; Pleuronectiformes; Scophthalmidae. The record is from RNAcentral.